AUUGAACGCUGGCGGCAGGCCUAACACAUGCAAGUCGAGCGAGCGGCGGACGGGUGAGGAAUGUCUGGGAAACUGCCUGAUGGAGGGGGAUAACUACUGGAAACGGUAUCUAAUACCGCAUACCAUCAGAUGUGCCAAGAUGGGAUUAGCUAGUAGGUCGGGUAACGGCUCACCUGGGCGACGAUCCCUAGCUGGUCUGAGAGGAUGACCGGCCACACUGGAACUGAGACACGGUCCAGACGCCUACGGGAGGCAGCAGUGGGGAAUAUUGGACAAUGGGCGAAAGCCUGAGGGAGCCAUGCCGCGUGUGUGAAGAAGGCCUUCGGGUUGUAAAGCACUUUCAGUGGGGAGGCGUUACCCGCAGAAGAAGCAACGGCUAACUCCGUGCCAGCAGCCGCGGUAAUUC
This 406-nucleotide ribosomal RNA is filed under the name uncultured bacterium. RNAcentral's name for it is "partial 16S ribosomal RNA". It matches the Rfam family "Bacterial small subunit ribosomal RNA", at positions 29 to 526 of the family's 1533-position model. The record is from RNAcentral.